CACGUAGGGCGCAAGCGUUGUCCGGAAUUAUUGGGCGUAAAGAGCUCGUAGGCGGACUGUCACGUCUGCUGUGAAAAGCUGGGGCUUAACCCUGGCCUUGCAGUGGAUACGGGCAGACUAGAGGUAGGUAGGGGAGAAUGGAAUUCCCGGUGUAGCGGUGAAAUGCGCAGAUAUCGGGAGGAACACCAGUGGCGAAGGCGGCGAUCUGGGAAGAUACUGACGCUGAGGUGCGAAAGCGUGGGGAGCAAACAGG
RNAcentral lists this ribosomal RNA (253 nucleotides) under uncultured bacterium. RNAcentral describes it as "partial 16S ribosomal RNA". It matches the Rfam family "Bacterial small subunit ribosomal RNA", at positions 524 to 776 of the family's 1533-position model. The record is from RNAcentral.